RNAcentral lists this unclassified non-coding RNA (359 nucleotides) under soil metagenome. Its description in RNAcentral is "partial contains 5.8S ribosomal RNA, internal transcribed spacer 2, and large subunit ribosomal RNA". The stretch from base 1 to 105 matches the Rfam family "5.8S ribosomal RNA", at positions 50 to 154 of the family's 154-position model. The record is from RNAcentral. RNAcentral also lists the same sequence under 2 other names.
GAAAUGUGAUAAGUAAUGUGAAUUGCAGAAUUCAGUGAAUCAUCGAAUCUUUGAACGCACCUUGCGCUCCCUGGUAUUCCGGGGAGCAUGUCUGUUUGAGUGUCAUGAACUCUUCAACCCACCAGUUUCUUGUAGACUGAUUGGUGUUUGGAUUUUGAGCGUUGCUGGUCUUCGGAUCUAGCUCGUUCGUAAUAAAUUAGCAUCUCUAAUUCGAACUCGGAUUGACUCAGUGUAAUAGACUAUUCGCUGAGGACACGCUCUUGUAGUGUGGCCGAAUGAGAUCUCAGUAGAAGCUUCCAACUACUUUAGUCAACUUUAGAUUAGACCUCAGAUCAGGCAGGAUUACCCGCUGAACUUAA